AUUCUAAGAAUUUAACAAAGUCAGCGUGUUGUCCUAUAAUUCCAGGUAUCUGGCCCCUCGAUGCGGAAUCUAAACUCUUCUUGGAAACGGAAUCAAAACACAGAGAAUAACUUUGUAUAUCGUACGUAUAUCGGCGUAUAUACGCGUGAGGCGUAUGUAAACAGAAAAUUGUCUCGUGGAAGGAGAAAGGAGGAAAUCUAGUUUAGUUUCGGGCGCGGUCGAGAUAACACGUGUGAAUUCGAGUCGUAUCGUGAUUUCGUAAUGUAAAGCGAAUGGUGGGCAAUAUUUUGUCAAACGCGAUCUUCCGUGCACUUCCGGUGGAGUGAAAGGAGGAGUCAGGACCAUGGACCAGGAUUUCUUCGAUGCAGAUCUCUUGAAACGGUAACGGUAACGCGAAAGGAAGAAACGUACCGGAGGCGUUUAAAACUGGAGGAGGGAGAGAGGGAGAAAAGAAAUCGAUCGCAAUAAUAAAGCCGAGGCAACGAACGAGGCGUGGACUGAUCCUUCACUCCGUUGGAGAGAAAGAGAGACAGGCAGUUGGAGUACAAAAGCCUCGAUCAUCGCAUCCUUAGAUAAAUUCGAUUCUCGCGACACAGCAGGAGAUUGGAAGCGAAAUCACGGGCCUGUUCAUCAACGAAGGAGAGAGGGAGAGAGUUGGAUUAAACUUGGAACAGGGGAUGACGGAGUCGCGUGAAAACGCGGGCCACGGUUGCUCGCGGAGAAACUCAGGGAGGUGGCUUCUAACGAUGAUUACAUCGACGAGUAAUUCGGCUGGAUUCAAGAGAAAAAAUCUUCUUACCCGACGACAAAUUCCAACGUUUCGUUACUUUCAACUCGAAAGAAAUAGACAUCGAAAACAGGAAGGAAUUAAUUCUCCCCGAACCGAGAGGAAGAAAUCUUUCCCCUGAAAUCGCCCCGAAUUGGACGACGAGAAACCGACAAGAUGGAAGAAAAGAGGAGGGGCGAAAAAUGGUAUAACGGUAAACAAGAUUCGCGUCCAGCAAGGAGGAGGACAUCGAAGUGGGCUGCAUAUGCGCAUCGAGACGGGUCCCCCGCGAUAAUGGAAAACAGGGAAAGGGAUUAAGAGAGGAUCGCGCGAUUCGAAAGGUUGGCGAAAAGUUGGCCAAGAGAGAGGAGGCAUCGAGUGGGUUGAGAGUUACCAAAACUCGCGCCUAAGAAACUUUUCAGACGGGGAUAGACGCCACCACCCUCCCUGCCAGCGAUCCGGGGGAAAUUCGAAUUUUCCGCGGAACUCUGAUCUUUUUAAGGAAAAAAGAAAGAAAGAAAGAAAGGAAAAGGAUAAGGAGAAAGGAAACGAGGAAGGUUGCGAAGGGCAGAGGAAGCGGGAGAUACGGGCGCUUUCGAGAGUGAAAGGGGGACGACUAACUGACAGAUUCCGUGGCUGCAGGUCGUGUUGGCUACCGUUUCUCAAACUUUCCAACACUGUGGACGCUUGAUACGUGACUUCGCUUCAGUCCAGUUCCCCGCUAUCACGCUUUCAAACAAGAGGCUGGUCCGCCUCUGGGGAGGAGGAGACGAAAAGAAAGGAAAGAAAAGAAACUCUGCAACUCUGGAGUGUGCUCGACGAUAUUGGCCAGAGAGAGAAUCUCGACGAAUCUCGCUUCUUGCGCUGGUGGAUGGACGGUUUGAGAAACCCUGUUCAGGGAUAGCCAUAGGAUGACCAGAUUCAGGAGGAGUGGUUCGCGUUAUAAUCUUCUCGACAAAAGCCACCAGGCACCGGCCGCAAUCCGAAAUCAAUAGCCUGCGGUCUGUUGCCGCUAUCUAUUUCACUUGUUCUACCUACCGUUACCGUGUAAAUAUAUAUAUAUAUAUAUAUGGUAUAUGGUAUACUUAAUCGAGUAUAAGUUUCGCUUUGAUCGAUAGCGUCGGUCGAGAAAGCGCGAGCGAAAAAUGGCCCGUUUGACCGCACGAUAAAUUUUUUAAUAAUUUCUACAAUAUCGUUGGAAAGAAGUUGGUAACCUCGACGUAUGACCGCCAUCUUUCCUUCCAUCUUUGAAAAAAAAUAAAUUGGUUGAUUUACAGAGAGAAAAGAGCAUGACUUUUUGAAUCAAAACACAUUCGCAAUAGUAGUUGUUUUAGAGGCUUCUGAUCUAGAGCUGGCAGAGUUAUUUCAAAAUCCGCAGCAGUCCGUUCUAUUAGGUAUUUUGUGUAUUUAAAUAACAGAAUCGUAGUGAUCCUCGGCUAAAUUCUCACAAGUUUGGAAAUUAUAUAGGAUGAAUCGAGCCGCGUGUUUGUGUUGUACUCGUGCAUUCGCUUCUAAAGUCGAUCCUUCCAAGAUGUUACGUAUGUUAUCGAUAUAUAUACGCGUGAUAUUUGGCGUAAGGAGAAUUUGAACGGAAUUUGGCAAAAUCGGGGGGAGGGGUGAUAUUAUCUUUCAACCGCUAGUGCGUUAAAAUUACAUGGAGAUUAUUAGAUGGGAACGAUGGGAAAUUUCUCGAUGAUUCGAAGGCGAAACGGUCGACGAGAGGGAAUUCUCUGGGACAGGUUCUACACCUCCUCGAAUUACCGUUUACGUAAUUCCGUGGCCGAACGAUCAGAUUUUCGGGGUAUUACAUGGAUUUCCCGGCGCCGGUACAAGGCGACUUCGCUCCCUCGAAUUUAUGCACCGCUUUCCACUUCUAUCCAUUGUUCAACCCGAUCUUAACGAGCCGCGAUAAAAUCAACGCGAUUACAGAUUCGAUCGUGAUUUACAUAUCGCCGCCAACGCGAACGGAAGAAACUUUCUUCACUUCCUUAAAGUGCCUUACGUUUUCAGCAAAUAGAGAUAUUUUAAAUUAAAUUGAAAACAUUUCAAAAAAUUCGGUUCGAGCGUGUCGUUAGAAAAUUUUUAAUUAUUUUAAAUUUUCACGUUAGAUUUUAUUAAGCUUCUCGCCAAUUACCGUUAGUUGAAACGAUAUGUAAUAUCAAAUAUACAUUCGAAUUAUUCUCUGUUUCAAUUAAUUCUAUUCUAUCUGGCUCGUAAAGCUUGGAAAAAUUCCUUUCUCCCCCCUGGAACAGUUGGAAAAAAAGGAAAAAGGGCGAGACAAUUCCCUGCUGUUAAACCGCAAGAGAUUUAAACGAGGGAAUCGAAGUUCGGGAUCAGAACGGGACAUAUUUGCCGCGAUUGUUCUCCACGCGUGAUUUCGAUUGAACCCGAUCAUGGAAUACCGCCACGCUCGUCCACCCUUUGCCAUUAACCCGAGCCGAUACAUUUUCGAACGAAAGAAGAAGAAGAAGGAAGAGAGGAAGAAAAACAAAAAGGAAAAUUCCUUGCUUCUAUUUUUAACGCGCACGCGUUCCGCUCUCCUCUCUUCCUAUGUCGCGCUAUGUCACCCUCCCCCUCCCCCCUAUACCGAUAUAUCGGACAUUUAAUAACGCCGGCAUUCGAAAAAUGCGCGCACGGAACGUUGCGCCUGGAAUUUUUGAUGAAAAUUUUCUCGCUUUUCCUGCAAAGUUGGCCGCGGGUACGGGCCGCGAUUUUUGCCUCCCCCCUCUCGAUAACAGAGGGGGGUCGGACGUUUAUGGAGAAAUAUUAACCGAUCCUCCCUCUACGAGCGGAAUAAUUAUCGAGGAGGAGGUUGUGCGCUCGGAGUUUUUCGAGUUUUCCACGAGUUUUCCACGAUAGAAGAUCACGGUAAGAGACGAUUAGUUACUUGUUCCUUGCAUUCCAGAUGCUAUCUAUGUAAUAUUCCUUGAUCGUCGCUGUAGAAAUAUUUCGUGAGAAAUUUGAAUAUAUAAAAAAAAAACCCCUUCCCUUUUCACAUAGACGGACAGAGAAGUUAAUUUUUCAUUUCGAAAAGAGUUGGUCGAAUCCUUGGCUGUAUUAAAUGGCAGGGGGAGAGAUGGGGGGGAAGAAAAAGUUGCGGAAGAUCGAAAAUCCCGGGACGCGAUUCAUAAUACAAGGUAAUAGGGGCGGCGCUUUAGCCAUUGUUUCCCUCCCCCUCCCCCGGAGAGGAAAGUUUAGCGGGACGGUGAAACAUUGAAGCGGACGACUGACAAGUAUCUCGGCGGGGCGGGGCAAAUCCGAUGCAUUAAUAAUAAUGGGCGAAAGGUCGGAGGGUCGGUGGAAAAAUUUCGCCUCUGCUACUUUGCGAAAACUCGCCCCCCGCUCCCUCACCCUCGGAUAAAAUAAUCAAGCUCGUUCCACUUCCCCUCGCUCCGCUCCGGUCCAAAAGUUUCAUGGAGGAGGGGGGAGAAGUUUAUGACGUUUCCGCGUCGCUCUUCUUUACUUCCUCUUUCUCGACCGACAUCCGACAAUUGGAAUAUACUUUCGUUCGAAGAGGGUGAACAUCGAAAGGGGAGAAAAGUUUCGCUUGUUCGUUUAUGAGGACGAAUUUUAAGGGAUUUUUUUUUUUUUUUGGCUUCUCGUUGCAAGAAAAUGUACGAAGAGUGUCGCGGGAAGGAAGAGAGUCGAUCGAAGUUUGUUGUUUCUUUUAAUUACAGAAAGGGAUCUUAUCGUAUCUCUCUUUCGGAUAUUUCCGGCAGAUUUUUAUGCCAAGAAGUAGCGGAGAAGGAUAAAGAAGAUAAUUUACGUACUUUUUAUAGGCAAUAUAGAUUUAUUUAAGAUAAGACGGGGAUAUAAAGGAAAUAUCGUCACGGGUCCGUUGACAAGAUUUAACAAGAUUUUUCACCGAGUUGGAACGAAAUUGAAAUAUAUUGGAAUACGAAAUGGUGUUGCUCGAGCAAUUGUUCCUCACGGAUUAAAAAAGAAAUACCGUGUUAUUAACUGCGUCGGAAAAGUGUCGCGUCAUUUUUAGGUUGACGGAGGUUGGAAAGCCGGGGAAAGCGUCGCUUUUCUUUCGAAAAUUUGCAUCGUAGAGAGAAAGAGAAUUGCGUGACAAAAUGUUAGGAAGUUUAAAUUAAGCGGUAAUCUGGAUUGCCGUAACUGAACGGAAUGCAAAUUUCCGCCGAUUCUCCUUAAUUUCGAAUUCAACACACCGCCGCUAAGUAUAUCCCCCGAAUCUCGAAUUAGCCUUUUUAACCAUCGGCUCCGCCACUCUUGCCAAUUGAAAAGGAGAAAUUGAAAAAGAAAAAAAAAUUAUUAUUCUUCCCACUCGAAGCAGGGACGAAAAUUUCGAUUAAUUUUUAAUUUCGAAUACAUUUCUUCCAUUCUGGUUCGUAAUUAAUAAGUCGAGCCACAUCUUACGUCUUUUUCCACUCAACAAGCUGUGCAAAGGAUUCAAUUUGGAGAGAACAAUCGAAACAGUCGGAGAGAAAUUUCGAUACAAUUUUUAUAUAAUUGAAAACAAUUGUUCUCAAAUACAUUUCUUCCACUCCGACUCGUAAUUAAUAUUGAAUCGUGUAGCCAAUACGUAUAUACGUAUAUACAUUCUUCUACUCAAAAUAUACAAUAAAUAUUCGAUCGAAGAAGUGAAUUUCGAUUAAUUUUGAGAAAUGGAGAGAAAUCGCGUCUCUUCCAUCAUCUGCUCGACUCUGAUUCCUAAUUAAUAAUCGACGUAAACCUUCUUCCGUCGAAGAAGAGGAUCUCGAUCCCGAAGAGGACGAUCCGUCAGAAGCGGGCAGAAGAAAUUUCGAUUAAAUUUUCACAGCGCGGUCGGAAAAAUUGUCCCUCCGCGUAAUUAAUAUAUGGAGGCACGGAGCCGGAAGAAUUUUUAUGCGGGAAACGCCGGAAACCACGACGAUUGCGAUUCAACCGGGCAUUAACGACGCGUUGGAUGGUCGUUAAAAUCUCGUUAAGUGUUGCCGUUUAUUCCGUCCCGUUUUAUGCUAAUGUUGGACCAUAAUCCGCGGUGAGGAACAAUGCUGUUCCUCCGUUCCGGAAGUCGGCCUUUAAAAACCUUUGCGGUUUUAUUUCGAUGACGCCGCUUAAUAGAACCGUUCCGCGUCUGCUGACUGCUUGCAAAAUGGAACGGAGAAACCUACUUCCCUCCCUCCGCCUCCUCUCCUCGGCCAAGUGAUAAUUCUUUGAAUCCCUCCUCCCCCCUCCUUUCGGGAGGGGGAUCGAUUUAUGGGAUGCGCGUGCACGAAGAGGCGUAGCUGGUUAUUAAACUGUCAGAGUUUAAUAACCGGCAGAUUUGACUCGACGAUAAGUUCUUCCCGCCAAUAUAUAACGAGAAAGAGAGAUGUUUACCUAUUCGUAAAACUGGGCUAGAGAGGAGAGAAAUUUCGGCGAGGGGAAAAUUAUAAGGUCCGUUUACUUUGUAACCGGAGUAAUAAGUUUGCCGAUUUCCCGAUGAUGAUAAAUCGUAACGCUAACAGCAAGUAAAUUGAUUUUCUUUUCAAACUUGUUACGAAUCCGUACCCGACGAGAUUUCUCUCCGUAUAUACACGAGUAUUAAAAUACACGGAUAAAAAUAAAUAUCUUAGAAUAUCUUAGAAACUCUACUGAAAAAAAAAGGAUACGCACGAACAUUCCGCGAGAAAAGCGAACGAAAGAGUGACGCGAGAGAGAAAAGAAAGACAACCAUCUUCGUUCGUUCUUUGUUCUCUUCUCGCGAGGAUGCAGGCGAGGCAGUUGAAAUAGAGGGGGAACUUUGGUCUUGUUGGAAUUUUGUGCGUUUUAAUUUUCCGGCCGCGGAGGCGGGACGAGGGAGAUCCGCGGAAUUAGUCGACGGUGGGUUUCUAAUUAGGGGUAAUGAGUUAAAAACGGACGCGAGAAUCUCGAGGAAGCGGAAGGGCUGAGAGUUCGAGGCCUGGCCGGGCAAACGAUAGUCCAUUACUCCCGGCCGCCGGAAAGAAUUAUCGUGUUGGCGAAUGGAUUUCCAUUUUCACGCGAGUUGCGCCCGCGUGAAAUUUGUCCCCAGCUCCGUUCCUCGAAUCCGUUGGGAAAAAGCAUCGUUUUCGACAUACCUCAAUUUUCUUAGAGAGAGUUUUCUCGGUAUCGUGAAGCGAGACUGCUUUUUGAGUUUGAAAUUUCAACAGUCUUCUCAUUUCCUUCAUUCAUUUCGAGCGGAAUCGAGAAAAUUCUUCCUCUUGCAAUUAUUUCUAUCCCUAGCCACAUACGAUAUUUUGCAGCGUACAGAUUUCAAGAGGGAUCGAGACGAAAUCGAUCUUGAAUUCGACGAAGGAGGCAAUUUCUCAUCCCGUGGGUCACGAUCAUUCGUACAGGGAUCGAGGACGGUUUGAAAUUACGACGGGGAAAAAUAGCUCGUAAGGAAGGAGGGGCAGGUGUCGUUUGUUCUCGCAACGAUUGUUCCCUUCGCCGGCUCUCAAGAUGCGAGGCAAUUUGCGGAAACGCAAAACGUUGAAAGGUCCGAAGGAUCGAGUGCUGCCAUCCCCUCCUCUCUCUCUCCCCCUCUAUCCCUCUUCCAAGAUUUCUCGAAUCCUCGUGGAAGGCCUUUUAAUUCCGCCGGCUGACAUUCUAUUUCGCAUCCGUCCGCAUUCAAAGUUAAUAAAGCGUCAUGCACACCGGCUGGCAUUUUUCCGCGGGACGAAAGAGAGAAUUGAAUGCGGUGAAUGUGGUCGUUUAGGUCGCGCUGCCUCCUAAGCCGCGCCCGUUCCGAGGCGCAAGGAUUGCGGGGGAGGGGGAGGAAAAGGAGGAGGAGGAGGAUCUGGCGAAGCAUCCUUCUGGAAUCCUUAAUAUAGUCGGUCGAAAGGGGAGAAUCGGACGCAAAAGGGGGUUGGGAAUGGGUGAGAAUGGCACGCGAAAGGAAAGAUAUCUCGCCACCGUGAAAAUUACGUUCCCGGCCCGAUAUACCCCUGGAGCGGGUAAAUAGGCAUCGAGCGAUAGGGUGGAUGUGACGAUCGUAUUCUCCUUUUCCUUAUCGAGGAACAAAUUAUUAGAAGAGAAGAACGAGAUGUCGAUCGAUUCUGUUUUGGAAAACGCGAAACGCUAUUUUGCAUUAAGGAUUAUGCAGAACACCGAGAUAUUAUAGAUACCGAUUUUUAGGAUGAAUGGUAAAUUUUCAUUGAAUUUCAUUUGAUCCGUUCGAAGAGGAGCGAGAUACUAAUGGAUCUUGUUUUGAAAAACAUCGGUGAUUAAAUUUCCUUUUCCAUAUCGAGGAAUUGCGUACGAUAUUUUGGACCGCAUUAAGGAUUAACACCAACUGAGAUAUCACGGAUAUUAAUGAAUUUGGUAAAUUGUUAGACAGAAUGAUGGAUAGAUAGUAAAUUUUCAUUCAAUUUCAUUUGAUUCGUUCGAAGAGGAGCGAGAUACUAAUGGAUUUUGUUUUGAAAAACAUUGGUGAUUAAAUUUCCUUUUCCAUAUCGAGGAAUUGCAUACGAUAUUUUAUACUGCAUUAAGGAUUACGCAGAACAUAAAGAGUGAGAUGUCACGGAUGUUAAUGAAUUUGGUAAAUUGUUAGACGAAAUGUGAUGGAGAAAUGGUAAAUUUUCAUUUCAUUAUAAGAUCGGUAUCUCUCGCUUAAAUAGAAACAGAUAAAACGAAAAUAUAGUGGAGCGAAAGAAGCAAAAGAAAACAACUUAUUGCGCCGCAUCAAGGUGUACUUUCUACCAGAUAUCAUGUUCCCUGCGUUUAAUUUAUUCGUAUUACACGCACACGCGUUCCGCAACGAGAUAACUUGGAUUAAUCGUGUCAUUAGAUCGGUACCCGACCUGGAAAUCUGAAUUAUGCAUAUACCCUUUGCUUCCCCUGUUUCGCAAAGCAAAAUUUCGGACCUCCAUUUCCUAAUCUAAUCCUCUCUUUCCAAAAAUCGCGAUCGCGCCGAAAUCCACUCUCGAGAUGAACGCUCGUGAGAAAUCGCCACGCCGUUUUGUUUAGCCUUCGUUCUCGAGGCUCCUCUCCCGCUCGAAAUCGCUCACCCGGGACCCGUAUUCGCGCGUUAUUGGCCCGCGAGGAGGAAUCGCGUGGAACCGCGUGGAAAAAUGGGCGACAUUUUAUAUCGGGGAGAGGGGGAGAGAGAGAUCUCGCCUCUGCAAUUAUAUCUCGAUGCAAAUGAUCCGGCCGAAUUAGCAGCGGCCGAUUAAUUAGUGUUGCCGGUAACGCGCGUUCCAUCUGCAGAUCCUUGUCGAUCGAUCGACCGACACCGGGACCGGCGCACUGUCACGCAGAGUGAUUGCAGCUGCAUGCAAUUAGCAUAAUCAUGACGAAGAGCCGCUCGUGUGCACGCUGCAGCUAUGGCGCGAGAGAGAGGGGGGAGGGAGAGGAUGAUCGACGUUUUCGUUUGCGUAAAGCCGCGUCCUCGUUACCCGGGGAGGCGACGAUCAUCGAUCAGAGAUCGACAAGGGUGCGUGUCGCGCGGUUGGAACAAAGAAGUCAUCGUCGAAAGCAUCGGGCUCGUACGCGUUUAUCAUCGGUCUAACCCUUUGCACGCUUGCACUAAUUUUAACAGGAACAAUUUUCACGCACACCUCCUCCCUCCGCCUCCCCCGACACGGAUGAAAAAUUCGAAGAAGAUUGGCCUUUUCGACCCUAUCCCGUGUAACAAGAUUUACAGGGGUGGAAGCAGAGGUCGAUUGGGCAGCGCACGAUCCAUUAUCCCGUCGAAUUGGGACCAAGCAGACGAUUUCGUUCGAUUCUCUCCUCUCGCCAAGUGUAUUAUUCGACACCUGAUACGAUGCUUUUUUUUUUUUAAUAAAUUUAAUUCGUGGAAAGCGUAUGAGAGGGGUCAUUUAAGGGGGAAGGGAGGGGAAACAAGAUUAAUAUAUAUUUUGAAGGGGAUUUAAUCUCCCUUCCCCACUGUUCGGCUAAAAUUAAAUAAAAUAUGCCGACAGAAUUUUAUAAAUUUUAGAACACAAAAUACCGCGCGACUCGUGCUGUCGGCCGCUUCGACCAAGUAUCCCGGCCAAGCUUAAUCAUUUUUUAAUUACGCCCCCGAUACGAUUAAACGGUCCUCCACGCUUUUAUGCACCCGAUCCUGCCGCCCCUCUGUUAAUUAAAUCGCUCGGAUGUACCGCGAGCCGCCCCGUUGGGAACUUUUCGAUCACCCGUGUGUAACUCGAGAGCUUCAUUCGUUAGCGGGAAACCUUAUCCCCUGGAUUGCCUGGUUUUUUUCUUUCUUUCCCUCUUCCUUUUUCUCAUUGUUUCGCGCUUCGGGGAAAUCAUGGAGAAAAUUGUUAAAUAAGGGAUUUUACGAAUUACCGUAUCCCGCAUUUUAAUUUACAUUUCCUUUUAU
Molecule: long non-coding RNA, 10034 nt
Organism: Apis cerana (Asiatic honeybee)
Lineage: Eukaryota; Metazoa; Arthropoda; Insecta; Hymenoptera; Apidae
Source: RefSeq, a predicted model, not a curated record